UUGAUUCACCCAUAUUUGAGUACAUCAUAAUUUAUCUAUAUUAUUGGUAAACUAUACCGAAAAAAUUAGUGAAGUUCACCCAUAAUGUCAGUAAUGAGACUUUACUAAUAUAUGGGUAAAUUAAUUCACCCAUAUUUGGUUGAAAAAACAGUCAUUUCUAGUUCAGUUGUUUUCGUUGCGGUAAACAAACAACUUUGCCAUGCAGUUAAUUUUGAAGUCAGAACCUCUAAAUUAGUGUACAAAUAAUGGUAUAUGGUACUGAAAAUACCCUCGGCAAAUUGGUGCAUUAACUUACAGAACGGCAGCAGCGAAGAAUAUGGCCCAUUCUCUCCAGAGCUUCUGCUCUACAGAAAUAGCGGCAAGCGAAAUCCCACCAGUCCCAGCUCCUUUCGUUUCGGCCACGUACAGAGCUCAUAGUCAUGGAAACAAAUGAAAUUCUAAUUUCGCUACAAGCUCCAGAAGGUGAAGCAGGAAAACCAUUCGGAACAACUUCUGCAGAACGCUACUACAUCUUUCGGAAACGAAGUCACAGCAGAGGACCCUGCGAAUUAUCUACUAGAGACUACUGAAGCAAUGUUCCGGCCCCGUUCAGUUAACUGAACUUAUAAUCGAUUGGCCACUGCAAGCUCGGAUCAUGGCUGGUACAAAGGGAGGCUCGCAGACGGUGGUAUUUCCACGGUGCUUGCUGUUAGUAAACCAGUUGCGGUUGGUACUAUUAUGUUCGUGGGUUUGCUCGUCAAUCUUUCCCGAAUGAUGUCAAUAUGUUAUCCAUGUUAAUUAGACAGAAUUAAGCCAAGAAUUAUUAUAUUGAAUAAAUUAAAUUGGUCAU
Molecule: long non-coding RNA, 829 nt
Organism: Armigeres subalbatus
Lineage: Eukaryota; Metazoa; Arthropoda; Insecta; Diptera; Culicidae
Exons: 4
Source: RefSeq, a predicted model, not a curated record